RNAcentral lists this ribosomal RNA (433 nucleotides) under uncultured bacterium. Its description in RNAcentral is "partial 16S ribosomal RNA". It matches the Rfam family "Bacterial small subunit ribosomal RNA", at positions 29 to 507 of the family's 1533-position model. The record is from RNAcentral.
AACGAACGCUGGCGGCAUGCCUAACACAUGCAAGUCGAACGAGACCUUCGGGUCUAGUGGCGCACGGGUGCGUAACGCGUGGGAACCUGCCCUUAGGUUCGGAAUAACUCCCCGAAAGGGGUGCUAAUACCGGAUAAUGUCUUCGGACCAAAGAUUUAUCGACUUUGGAUGGGCCCGCGUUGGAUUAGCUAGUUGGUAGGGUAAAAGCAUACCAAGGCGACGAUCCAUAGCUGGUUUGAGAGGAUGAGCAGCCACACUGGGACUGAGACACGGCCCAGACUCCUACGGGAGGCAGGAGUGGGGAAUAUUGGACAAUGGGGGGAAGGCUGAUCCAGCAAUGACGCGUGAGUGAUGAAGGCAUUAGGGUUGUAAAGCUCUUUUAACCGGGAUGAUAAUGACAGUACCGGGAGAAUAAGCUCCGGCUAACUCCGUG